GGCGAACGGGUGAGUAACGCGUGAGCAAUCUACCUUAGUUACAGGGAUAGCCCGAGGAAACUCGGAUUAAUACCUGAUAUUCUUUAUUUCUCGCAUGAGAAUAAAAGGAAAGGUCAGCCGAACUAAGAUGAGCUCGCGUUCUAUCAGCUAGUUGGUGAGGUAAAAGCUUACCAAGGCUACGACGGAUAGCUGGUCUGAGAGGACGAUCAGCCACACUGGGACUGAGACACGGCCCAGACUCCUACGGGAGGCUGCAGCAGGGAAUAUUGUGCAAUGAACGAAAGUUUGACGCAGCGACACCGCGUGUGGGAUGACGGAUCUAGGUUUGUAAACCACUUUCAGGAGGGAAGAAAAUGACGGUACCUCCACAAGAAGCCCCGGCCAACUACGUGCCAGCAGCCGCGGUAAUACGUAGGGGGCGAGCGUUGUCCGGAUUUAUUGGGCGUAAAGAGCUCGUAGGCGGUUCAACAAGUCGGUCGUGAAAGUUCAGGGCUCAACCCUGAAAUGUCGAUCGAUACUGUUGUGACUAGGAUACGGUAGAGGUGAGUGGAAUUCCGAGUGUAGCGGUGAAAUGCGUAGAUAUUCGGAGGAACACCAAUUGCGAAGGCAGCUCACUGGACCGCUAUCGACGCUGAGGAGCGAAAGCUAGGGGAGCAAACAGGAUUAGAUACCCUGGUAGUCCUAGCUGUAAACGAUGGAUACUAGACGUAGGAACUGGAUUGACGGUUUCUGUGUCGUAGCUAACGCGUUAAGUAUCCC
This 759-nucleotide ribosomal RNA is filed under the name uncultured Actinomycetes bacterium. Its description in RNAcentral is "bacterial SSU rRNA". It matches the Rfam family "Bacterial small subunit ribosomal RNA", at positions 97 to 870 of the family's 1533-position model. Lineage: Bacteria; Bacillati; Actinomycetota; Actinomycetes. The record is from RNAcentral.